GGGCGAGUGGCGAAAUUGGUAGACGCGCUAGCCUUAGGAGCUAGUGUCGCAAGACAUGGAGGUUCGAGUCCUCUCUCGCCCACCA
This 85-nucleotide transfer RNA is filed under the name Minisyncoccota bacterium. Its description in RNAcentral is "tRNA-Leu". It matches the Rfam family "tRNA". Rfam says of the family: Transfer RNA (tRNA) molecules are approximately 80 nucleotides in length. Their secondary structure includes four short double-helical elements and three loops (D, anti-codon, and T loops). The record is from RNAcentral. Lineage: Bacteria; Bacillati; Minisyncoccota.